GUAUGUAUAUGCCUACAACAUUAAUGUAGUGGAGCCCAUUAUAACUUCACAUUUAAGAGUGUUUGGUAUAGAGUAAUAUUGGGUUGGGUGACCUCCUUGGAAAUCCUAGUGUUUUACAUGCU
Non-coding RNA from Picea glauca (white spruce), 122 nucleotides. The record is from Rfam. NCBI's taxonomy places the organism in Eukaryota, Viridiplantae, Streptophyta, Pinopsida, Pinales, Pinaceae.